GGGGGGGACGUACCCCCAGGACUGCUCAGAUCCCAAGAGGGUGUCGCCGCUCUUCAUACUGUCCAAAUGGUUGGAAAACAUGAAUAUGCAGCUCAAGUAUGUGUCUAUGUGACAGCAUGCCUGUCGCCUCUAGAAAUCCAAGCUUGAAAGUAUUGCCAGGGGUUUAGAAUCACUGCAGGGACUGGAGAUCUGAGUUUGGAGGGAUCUGGCUGUUUGGACCACCACAGGGAUGACCUGUGCACUCGCUGCAAGAGCGCACGCAGCAGGUGUCAGCUGUCAUGUCUGCAGACGCGCUACUUCAUUCUCUUUGGUGUCUGUCUUACUCCUCCGUGCAGGUCAGCAAGCCAAUGGCAUAGUCAGAGUUUGACAGUUAGGAUUAUUGCCUAUAAAGCUGUGCAGAAAUAGAAGUAUAGCCUGAGAAACAUUUCCACGGACCCAAGAUUUCUAUAUUUAUACAAAAGAUUGGUAAACAAAAGAUCGCUAAAUGUUAUUCAACUACAUAAAAACUGGUGAAGUACCAUUCUGGGUCUGGCUUCUCAGAGAAUGAAAUGCAGAGUCCACAUUCACAUUCCACGUAGAGAAACACACACAUUUCUCCAUCUGCCUGUCAGGUCUCUCAGUGCCUCAAAAGCAUCCCCACUCCGUGCGGGUGGCACUGGGCACUUGGGCGCUAGCGGAGCUGUCCUGCCCCUACCUGCUUCUUUUCUGUAAAUCACAUCAGUCUUCAGUGGUGCUUUAAAUUAAUUCCUGUGUGUUCCAUUAAAGUUUUAAUACAUAAUUUAAAGGGAUUAAAAACUCAUUUAUUAAUUUAAAAUAAUUCUUGUCUAAUAUCUCCAUUUGGAGAGUUUUGAACUAUCAAAGCAUGAGCUGUACACAUUAGAAUGUUUUUAAUGAGUAUUUUACUCAUUGACCUGUAAGCUCUACAACUGUUGAGAAAAACCACCACUAAAGUAGGACUGACAUCAACAAAGUGAGACUAAAACGAUUUUCCUUGGAGACAUUCCAGUUUGCUAUGGCAUCACCUCAAAUAAAUGGCGCUCUGACUGACACCCAAGGCCGCUCAGUGCUUCCCAGGCGCUCACACCCCUUCCCAGGGGCUCUGAGCACAGCCGGAGGCGAGGCAGGAGGCGCUGGCUCCCCUGAGCCUCUGACAAGGUUUCUUUUCCAUGUGCUCAGCACCACAGGCGAAGUGGCAAAUUGCAUGAGUUAUUUACUAGGGCAGUGAUGGCGAACCUAUGACACGCGUGUCAGAGGUGACACGCGAACUCAUUUUUUUGGUUGAUUUUUCUUUGUUAAAUGGCAUUUAAAUAUAUAAAAUAAAUAUCAAAAAUAUACAUCUUUGUUUUACGAUGGUUGCAAAUAUCAAAACAUUUCUGUAUGUGACACGGCACCAGAGUUAAGUUAGGGUUUUUCAAAAUGCUGACACGCCGAGCUCAAAAGGUUCGCCAUCACUGCCCUAGGUGGUACAGGGAGAGACUAAGCCAGGGAAACAGAGGACAUGGUGGGCAAAAUACUUACUGAAGUUGGAAUGUGGGUUUAUUUAUUGACGCCAGGAUUACCAGGGAGUAGAAUUAUUUUACUUUAUGUUUUUCAUCAUACUUAAUAUAUUUUUAAAGCUUCCUGU
Molecule: long non-coding RNA, 1624 nt
Organism: Myotis daubentonii (Daubenton's bat)
Lineage: Eukaryota; Metazoa; Chordata; Mammalia; Chiroptera; Vespertilionidae
Exons: 2
Source: RefSeq, a predicted model, not a curated record